RNAcentral lists this ribosomal RNA (452 nucleotides) under uncultured bacterium. Its description in RNAcentral is "bacterial SSU rRNA". It matches the Rfam family "Bacterial small subunit ribosomal RNA", at positions 29 to 526 of the family's 1533-position model. The record is from RNAcentral.
AACGAACGCUGGCGGCAGGCCUAACACAUGCAAGUCGAGCGCCCUAGCAAUAGGGAGCGGCAGACGGGUGAGUAACGCGUGGGAACCUUCCCAGUGGUACGGAACAGCUCAGGGAAACUUGGGGUAAUACCGUAUACGCCCGAAAGGGGAAAGAUUUAUCGCCAUUGGAUGGGCCCGCGUCGGAUUAGCUAGUUGGUGAGGUAACGGCUCACCAAGGCUACGAUCCGUAGCUGGUCUGAGAGGAUGAUCAGCCACACUGGGACUGAGACACGGCCCAGACUCCUACGGGAGGCAGCAGUGGGGAAUAUUGGACAAUGGGCGCAAGCCUGAUCCAGCCAUGCCGCGUGAGUGACGAAGGUCUUCGGAUUGUAAAGCUCUUUUGGCGGGGACGAUAAUGACGGUACCCGCAGAAUAAGCCCCGGCUAACUUCGUGCCAGCAGCCGCGGUAACAC